Molecule: transfer RNA, 73 nt
Filed under: Candidatus Carsonella ruddii
Lineage: Bacteria; Pseudomonadati; Pseudomonadota; Gammaproteobacteria; Oceanospirillales; Halomonadaceae
Description: tRNA-His
Rfam family: tRNA
About the family: Transfer RNA (tRNA) molecules are approximately 80 nucleotides in length. Their secondary structure includes four short double-helical elements and three loops (D, anti-codon, and T loops).
Source: RNAcentral
GUAAAUAUAACUCAGUUGGUAGAGUAUUGAUUUGUGGCAUCAAUUGUCAAGGGUUCAAUUCCCUUUAUUUACC